GUAGUCCACGCCCUAAACGAUGUCGACUAGGUGUUGGGGAAGGAGACUUCCUUAGUACCGCAGCUAACGCGUGAAGUCGACCGCCUGGGGAGUACGGUCGCAAGAUUAAAACUCAAAGGAAUUGACGGGGACCCGCACAAGCGGUGGAUGAUGUGGAUUAAUUCGAUGCAACGCGAAGAACCUUACCUACCCUUGACAUGGUCGGAAGCCUCUCGAGACGGAGGCGUGCCCGAAAGGGAGCCGACACACAGGUGCUGCAUGGCUGUCGUCAGCUCGUGUCGUGAGAUGUUGGGUUAAGUCCCGCAACGAGCGCAACCCUUGUCAUUAGUUGCUACGAAAGAGCACUCUAAUGAGACUGCCGGUGACAAACCGGA
Molecule: ribosomal RNA, 374 nt
Filed under: uncultured bacterium
Lineage: Bacteria
Description: bacterial SSU rRNA
Rfam family: Bacterial small subunit ribosomal RNA
Source: RNAcentral